UUCAGAGACAUCCCGUAAAAUUGUAAAAUUGGAAUGAUAGAGAAAAGAUUAGCAUGGCCCUAACGCAAGGAUGACAUGCAUAAAAAGGAUACUGCCUUCAUAAUC
Small nuclear RNA from Lycium barbarum (goji berry), 105 nucleotides. The record is from RefSeq and is a predicted model, not a curated record. Lineage: Eukaryota; Viridiplantae; Streptophyta; Magnoliopsida; Solanales; Solanaceae.